Dermacentor silvarum is the source of this 838-nucleotide RNA transcript. RefSeq lists it as uncharacterized. Lineage: Eukaryota; Metazoa; Arthropoda; Arachnida; Ixodida; Ixodidae. The transcript is spliced from 3 exons. The record is from RefSeq and is a predicted model, not a curated record.
GUUUUGCUUUCGGCAGACUACAUUAUAAUCAUCUAAACCUCAGCAACGCGAGUUUUUGAAAUGGUUUUAUUUGUAUCACUGUUUCUUUCAAAGGCAUAAUUUCUUGCGACUCGCACAGAUUACGCAACACAGCAGCGAAGAAUCUAUUUUAAAUUUCCGACAUACCGUAAUCACAACGCAGUAACGACGUAGUGCAGCAGACGACAGCUUCUGUAGCUUGUGCGCCAUUGCCACAGCCAGAAACGCUAGCGACUAUCGGAUUUGGUAGAGUUACUUUGUAUAUUACAGCGACAGUGGAAUUUAGUCUUUAUUUGAGCGGCAAAGCAUUCUGACAAAAUGAGUCAAAUAGGCAAGAACCGCCUCGACGAGCGCUCGCAAAAAGCCAGCCAGGAUGGACUGUCGCACGAUGCUGAAAUGACUUCGCGAGUUCAGGUACCGACCCAGCCUCCCGUCCACGAGAACGAUCUCCUAAAGUUGGCGGAGACAAGGAGCCCAUCGCUGACCUGGAGACGAUCUGCGAAGAAUUCAGAAAAAUUUUAAGCGAGAUUGAACAGCAGACUCAGAUCGAGGAGCUAUACCUGUCCGGCGUACAGGAAACCGUUGGCGCAAAGGUGGCAGAGGCGGUGGAGGAGUUCGUAAAGUGCGUGAGACGAUACUUCGAGGACAAAAGGAAGACGGUCUUCAAGAUCGUAUCGGAGACCAACGGCGCCCUGCAGAGAAUCGCCGAACACAACAAGAUGCGAGACACCAUCAAAGAGGCGAUGGAGGCGACCUGGAACGCACUCGCGUGAAUGCGACAUUGUAUUACGUUGUCGAAUAAGGCAAACGAAUAAAUGAG